GGGGUCACGUGCACGCUCUGUUUACACAUCCACUCACACCUGUGCACCCUCUGUAGUUCUAUGGUCUGGGGGGCCCUGCCUCCCUUCCGUGGUUCUGCAUCUUUACACACACACUGUAAUAAAGUCUUAUGGAAUGCGCACCGCGUUUAACGCAAUACAAUACAACUUUCAGCAACGGAUCUCUUGGCUCUCGCAUCGAUGAAGAACGCAGCGAAAUGCGAUAAGUAAUGUGAAUUGCAGAAUUCAGUGAAUCAUCGAAUCUUUGAACGCACCUUGCGCCCUUUGGCCAUUCCGAAGGGCAUGCCUGUUUGAGUAUCAUGAACACCUCAACUCUCAUGGUUCGCCAUGAUGAGCUUGGACUUUGGGGGCUUUGCUGGCCUAUGGUCGGCUCCUCUCAAAUGAAUCAGCUUGCCAGUGUUUGGUGGCGUCACAGGUGUGAUAACUAUCUACGCUUGCGAUUGUCCACCAGGU
RNAcentral lists this ribosomal RNA (471 nucleotides) under uncultured Tomentella. RNAcentral describes it as "eukaryotic LSU rRNA". The stretch from base 164 to 318 matches the Rfam family "5.8S ribosomal RNA". Lineage: Eukaryota; Fungi; Basidiomycota; Agaricomycetes; Thelephorales; Thelephoraceae. The record is from RNAcentral.